This is a long non-coding RNA of Meriones unguiculatus (Mongolian gerbil), 1967 nucleotides long. RefSeq lists it as uncharacterized. The transcript is spliced from 4 exons. The record is from RefSeq and is a predicted model, not a curated record. Lineage: Eukaryota; Metazoa; Chordata; Mammalia; Rodentia; Muridae.
AAACAUGAAAAGGAAAGAGCAAACACGGGGAUAAAGAAGCUACAAAAUACAACCAAGUGAUGGUAUCACAGAGAUGGUCACCACACAAAAGGUGGCAUUAAGAGCAUGGACUGGCCAGGAGGCAGCAAAAGAGCCAAGGAAAAGCCUGGCCUGGAGUGUCCUGGGCAGCUAUGGCAAAGUACCACACAUGGUGGCUAAAACCGAGGAGUUUAUCUCACUGUCUCACAGUCCUGAGGUGGAAGAGUUCACAAAGUGUCCACAAGGAGGUGGAGCUGAAAGAAGCGGGUCACUGCAGGUGGCCUUGAGGUUGCAUAGCCCUGCUCUGCUUCCUGUUUGCACUCUGCUUCUUGACAGCAGACACAACAUGAACAGCUGCUUCCCAGUCCUGCCACCGUGCCUUCCCUGCCAUGAUGGAUGUACCUCCUUGGACUAUAAGAAGAAAGAAAUCUUCCUUUAGGAUGCUUCUAGUUAGGUGAUGCUGUCCCUGGACUGGUGGGCCUGGGUUCUAUAAGAAAGCAGUCUCAGCAAGCCAGUAAGCAGAAGUUCUCCAUGACUUCUGCAUCAGUUCCUGCCUUCAGGUUCCUGCGCUGUUUGAGUUCCUGUCCUGGCUUCCUUCCGUGAUGGACUACAAAGUGGAUGUGUUAGCCAAAUUAACCCUUUUGCUCCCCAACUUGCUUUUGAUCAUGGUGUUUUAUCACAGCAAUAGAAACCCUAAGACAAGUGGAUAUUCAUUCUAUAAGACUGCCUUCAGCCUAUAUUUCUGUUUCUAGCAAAUGAUUAUCAACAGGCACACACAUGUGCCCACACAUACACAAACACACAUACAUACACAUGCACACAUGCAUGCCUGUACUACUCCUGAGCCAAGGUCAUAAAAGAGUACAUACUUUAAUUUCAGAGCUAUAGGUUGGCUUAAGCUGUAGAAGUUGCUUACAUGGGAAAUGCAGGACUAGGAAGGUUAAUUGUUAUAUUGUUCUCUUAAAGGUGGGUUAAAUAACAGGCUGAUUACACAGUAGGAUAGCAGCCUUAAAUCUUGUGACCUCAAAGUCGGUUAUUAACUCUAGCUGCAAGGUCUAGCACCAGUUCCAGUCUCUUAGUAAAGAGAGUAAUAAAUUUUGUUAUCAUUAUGCAUUGCUGCAGCAGCAUCACUGGUCAGAAGAAAAGGAUCCAAGUCAUGUUUCUGGCCUUGAGGAAAGACAACCUUCUGAAAGCCUGGGAGGUCUCUAAUAGCUAACUAAGCCUUCUCAGGUGACUGUCAGGCCAAGGACUCCUGGUAAAGAAAAGUGACAUACCCUUGCCCUUUCCUCUAACAGUCAAUAAAAAAUGGGCCUGUCUAUCACCUGGACAGGAAAAUAAGCUGUCUGUUUUAGGGAUUUUAAGAAAUAGUAUUGUGAACUGGGCACAGUAGAGCACUUCUGUAAUCCUGGAACUCGAAAGGAGGCAGAGGCAGGUGGAUCUCUGUGAGUUCGAGGCCAGCCUGGUCUAAAAGCGAGUCCAGAACAGCCAAGGCUUCACAGAGAAACCCUGUCUCAGAAAAUAAAAAAGAAAUAGUAUUGUGAAAUGUGUUGGUUCCCUAAUUUCUUUCUCAGCCAAUUUAUUGUUUGUGUAAAGGAGGGCUAUUAGCUUUUUUUUUUUUUUAAAUACUUUUUUACCCAGCCACUCUGCCAAAGGUGUUUAUCAGCUGUAGGAGUUCCCUGGUGAAAUUCGGGAGGGUCACUUAUGUUGGGAACCGUAAGCAGGUACCUCUACGGCCAGUCCCAAGAGACCUGACAAACGGGAUCUCAGGCAUCAGUGAGGCCACCUACGGACCACCUGUGGACUACCUGAGACCACCUGUGCAUGCUCUGGGUCACCUUAAAGAGAACUCGAACCACCUCCUCUCUCUCUCUCUCUCUCUCUCCUACCCUACCCAGAGAUGGUCUCUGUGACCCCCUCCUUCUUCUCUUAAUAAAACCUCCCACGUGGAA